Molecule: microRNA precursor, 136 nt
Filed under: Hordeum vulgare
Lineage: Eukaryota; Viridiplantae; Streptophyta; Magnoliopsida; Poales; Poaceae
Description: microRNA MIR1122
Rfam family: MIR1120/MIR1122 microRNA precursor family
Source: RNAcentral
UAAAUACUCCCUCCGUCCCAAAAUUCUUGUCUUAAAUUUGUUUAGAUAUAAAUGUAUCUAGUCACGUUUUAGUAUUUAGAUACAUUCAUUUCUAGACAAGCUUAAGACAAGAAUUUCGGGACGGAGGGAGUACAUU